UGGCGAACGGGUGAGUAACGCGUGAGUAACCUGCCCUAGAUGGGGGACAACAGUUGGAAACGACUGCUAAUACCGCAUAAGCCCACGGUACCGCAUGGUACUGAGGGAAAAGGAUUUAUUCGCUUUAGGAUGGACUCGCGUCCAAUUAGCUAGUUGGUGAGGUAACGGCCCACCAAGGCGACGAUUGGUAGCCGGACUGAGAGGUUGAACGGCCACAUUGGGACUGAGACACGGCCCAG
This 239-nucleotide ribosomal RNA is filed under the name uncultured bacterium. RNAcentral describes it as "partial 16S ribosomal RNA". It matches the Rfam family "Bacterial small subunit ribosomal RNA", at positions 96 to 334 of the family's 1533-position model. The record is from RNAcentral.